RNAcentral lists this ribosomal RNA (806 nucleotides) under Kiritimatiellia bacterium. RNAcentral describes it as "bacterial SSU rRNA". It matches the Rfam family "Bacterial small subunit ribosomal RNA", at positions 1 to 780 of the family's 1533-position model. The record is from RNAcentral. Lineage: Bacteria; Pseudomonadati; Kiritimatiellota; Kiritimatiellia.
UUACGGAGAGUUUGAUUCUGGCUCAGAACGAACGCUGGCGGCGUGGAUUAGGCAUGCAAGUCGAACGGGACCUUCGCGGUAGCAAUAUCUAGGAGGUCCAGUGGCGGAAGGGUGAGUAACGCGCGGGUAAUCUACCUCGAAGUUGGGAAUAGCCUGGGGAAACUUGGGAUAAUUCCGAAUGUGGUCGGCCGGUGACAAUCGGCCUAUCUAAAGCUGGGGACCGUAAGGCCUGGCGCUUUGAGAUGAGCCCACGUCCUAUCAGCUAGUUGGUGAGGUAAUGGCUCACCAAGGCUUUGACGGGUAGCUGGUCUGAGAGGAUGGUCAGCCACACUGGGACUGAGACACUGCCCAGACUCCUACGGGAGGCUGCAGUCGAGAAUCAUUCGCAAUGGGCGAAAGCCUGACGAUGCGACGCCGCGUGCAGGAUGACGGCCUUCGGGUUGUAAACUGCUGUGAUGGGGGAACAAUUGGCAGAUCAUGAACAGUGAUUUGUCUUGAUAGUACCCCAAGAGGAAGCCACGGCUAACUCUGUGCCAGCAGCCGCGGUAAUACAGAGGUGGCAAGCGUUGUUCGGAUUUACUGGGCGUAAAGGGUGCGUAGGCGGCAUCAUAUGUCGAAUGUGAAAUCCCACGGAUUAUCUGUGGAACUGCAUACGAAACUGUGGUGCUAGAGGACAGGAGAGGAGGGCGGAAUUCUCGGUGUAGCGGUGAAAUGCGUUGAUAUCGAGAAGAACGCCGGUGGCGAAGGCGGCCCUCUGGACUGUAUCUGACGCUGAGGCACGAAAGCUAGGGGAGCAAACAGGAUUA